RNAcentral lists this unclassified non-coding RNA (459 nucleotides) under Hevea brasiliensis (rubber tree). Lineage: Eukaryota; Viridiplantae; Streptophyta; Magnoliopsida; Malpighiales; Euphorbiaceae. The record is from RNAcentral.
GGCUGUCAAAAAAACAACUUUUUGUAGUAAAGAAUCCUGUUGCCGGAAAUAUACAACUCAUUGUCCACAAAUAAAAGAUAAACAUGGUAUUUACAUGGACAAAUCUUCUUUAAUCUUGAUGCUGCUAUCUGAAAACAAGGCUUCCAUUCUGUUGAAGCCUUAGAUUUUCCAUGAGUGACUGGUAGAAUGAUUUCAAUGCUUUGAAAUCACUACCCUGCAACUUUUGGCAGUAUUGCUGUGCCAAAUCUUGAGGGCAAUGUGCGGAUGGAAAGCCUUUUGACACAAAAUGAAGGAGAAAUUCAUCACCAAACUUCUCAUACAUGACCUUCUGUGCCUGUACAAUUUCUCCAAACAAAACAAGCUUUUCUUCCCCACGAGGUUUGUCAUACCAAUCUUUAAUUAAUCUAAUGAAUAUCUGCACACAUGCCUUUCUUACAAGGAUAUCCUUGUGACUACAAG